This 211-nucleotide ribosomal RNA is filed under the name Clostridium sporogenes. RNAcentral describes it as "partial 23S ribosomal RNA". It matches the Rfam family "Bacterial large subunit ribosomal RNA", at positions 2717 to 2925 of the family's 2925-position model. Lineage: Bacteria; Bacillati; Bacillota; Clostridia; Eubacteriales; Clostridiaceae. The record is from RNAcentral.
CCAGUUGUCACGCCAGUGGCACAGCUGGGUAGCUAUGUUGGGACUGGAUAAACGCUGAAAGCAUCUAAGCGUGAAGCCAACCUCAAGAUGAGAUUUCCCAUAGCGUAAGCUAGUAAGACUCCUGGAAGAACACCAGGUUGAUAGGUCAGAGAUGUAAGCAUGGCAACAUGUUAAGUUGACUGAUACUAAUAAGUCGAGGGCUUGACCAAAA